This is a long non-coding RNA of Tupaia belangeri chinensis (Chinese tree shrew), 1968 nucleotides long. RefSeq lists it as uncharacterized. Lineage: Eukaryota; Metazoa; Chordata; Mammalia; Scandentia; Tupaiidae. The transcript is spliced from 2 exons. The record is from RefSeq and is a predicted model, not a curated record.
UUGUUUAAAACAAAGAAAGCAGCAGUCACCACCUACUAUAGGAAGGGAGAGGGAAGGGAGAGGCACUGUCUGGGAGGUGAGCACCAUCUGAGGGGCUGAGCAGACCCUAGAGCCAAACAGGGUAAAGCCAACCAGCUUGGAGGCUGGGUGUCCCUCUGACCCUACUGCAGGCACCUCCCACAUCAGCCCUUCCUGGGGUACCCUGAGGUGAGGGAUGAGGAAGGGCCUGAGCCUCCUGCUCACAGUCUACCUAGUACCGGUGUUCCCACCUGUGCAAUACCCCCUCACCCCCUAGGUAGCAGGGUCUGUAGCCCCUUACAUGGCCACCCUGCUCCACAGGCCCUGGUGACCUCCACAGGACUCUCCCAGAGAAACACACACAUAUCCCUAAAGUGGGGAGCUGGCUGGCUGGGGCAGGUGAGUACUAAAGAAGCCAAAGGAAGCCGCAGUUGCUCAGGGAGUCAGAGCCUAGGCAGCUGUAGGUUUGCAGACCAGAGGAGGAGGAACCGAGAGUGCAAAUAUGUGCAGGAACGGGAGAGGCUACGGGUUAUCGACCACAGUUUCACUGGGACGCGGCCCAAGCUGAGGAAGGGGGAGGCUGGGAGGCUGGCUAGAACUGGCCUUUGCUGCCCAGAGGCGGGCCCAGCCCAGACAACGGGCUCCCUCUGCUGGACGUCCAACCUAUAGGCAAGGAGAAGCAGGGUAGGGGGAAAGUGGCUUAUGUUCCCAGCUUCCCUCUGUUCCGGAGAGGGUGGGGUGGGGGCAAGACCAGACCAGGACAAACGUUAACAUGAAUAUCAUGCAUGGCUGACAGGCAUUUAUUACAGAUUUGGCACAGUCACUGAAGGCCAGAGGGCUCAAAAGGAAUAGCUGAGACCAGACCCAACACUUGGGGGGAUGCAUAGCCCCAAAUAACACGGGUGGGGUGCAGCCCUUCAUGCACAAGCAUAAAAGCGAGAACUCCCAAUCACAGCACAACGAAAAGGGCAAGGUAGGUAGGGGCACCCAGUGCCCUCCUGCAGGUGGCCAUGGGGUCAGCAGGCCUUAAUCCAGGAGAGGCUGCCCUUGGAGAGCACUAUCAGUACCAGACUGAAGCGCACGCCCAUACGGUCAUAUAGUCGUAAGCAGUCUACGGAGUGGCAAGUUCAAUGUCAACCAGCACAAAUAAGUGUCAGUUCUCUGACUCUGGCUUAGUCAUAGCAAACAUUUACCCAGCCUGGCUCCACUUUGUAGCCAGCAGGCUGCUUACUCAUCCAGGCUGCCCCUGGUCAGAGUCUUGUGCUCAAGAAAAGCAAAUACAGUUCAGUUCAGCACAGCACUCAGCUGCGGGGUCUCAGAGGAUCCCAGACCGCGAGGGCGAGAGGUCACUGGUUUUAGAGACUGAGGCCAGUGCACUGGUCAGCUGUCGUGUGAAAAUGCAGGAUAGGAUUAGGUGGGCCUGGGGUGGGCCCAAAGGUCUGCAUCUCUAAGGAACUCAGAGCGACUGCUGGCUCACGGACCACCCGGUGAGUAGCAAGGAUGUAGACCAGGAAGUCUCAAGCUUUGUGGCACAGAAUUCCCUGGGGAACUUUUACAUAUCCCAAUGCCCAGGCUCCAUUUAGAUCAGUUAAACCAGCUCGGAGGGCAGGGCCUAGAUGUCAGGAUUUUAAAAGCUCCCUAAUUCCAGAGUGGGUAAAAACCAGUGAUCCCAGGAAUCAUCAGGGGAGUAGGGGGAGGGGAUGUAUGAGUAGUCUGAGAAGCAUAAUCUCUAAAAUAAUUUAAUAUUUGGAAAAAGAAAUAUCUGUGUGUGGAGUGUGAAGCUUGAUUAAAAUCUUCCUGGUCUGUAAAUACCUGUAUAUGAAUCCCUUCUAUAAAAUCCCUAAUUGACUAGGAUCGAAUAGUUCUAGUGAUUAAAUAUCCACUACCUAAUAGACAGCCCACUCACUCUUAAGUAGUUCUGAUUGUUUGAAAUCACUCCCCCUACUAAGA